GGAUUCUACUGCUGUCUGUCUCUUCCUGGUUAUGGAUUCUACUGCUGUCUGUCUCUUCCUGGUUAUGGAUUCUAGUGCUGUCUGUCUCUUCCUGGUUAUGGAUUCUACUGCUGUCUGUCUCUUCCUGGUUAUGGAUUCUACUGCUGUCUGUCUCUUCCUGGUUAUGGAUUCUACUGCUGUCUGUCUCUUCCUGGUUAUGGAUUCUAGUGCUGUCUGUCGCUUCCUGGUUAUGGAUUCUACUGCUGUCUGUCUCUUCCUGGUUAUGGAUUCUACUGCUGUCUGUCUCUUCCUGGUUAUGGAUUCUACUGCUGUCUGUCUCUUCCUGGUUAUGGAUUCUACUGCUGUCUGUCUCUUCCUGGUUAUGGAUUCUACUGCUGUCUGUCUCUUCCUGGUUAUGGAUUCUAGUGCUGUCUGUCGCUUCCUGGUUAUGGAUUCUACUGCUGUCUGUCUCUUCCUGGUUAUGGAUUCUACUGCUGUCUGUCGCUUCCUGGUUAUGGAUUCUACUGCUGUCUGUCUCUUCCUGGUUAUGGAUUCUACUGCUGUCUGUUGCUUCCUGGUUAUGGAUUCUACUGCUGUCUGUGUUUAGUUCUGUCUUCUUUUGAAGAAUUAUGCCAUCAGUUAUUGAGAAAAGAAAGAGAAAGCAUGUCUUGUGUUUAAAAUGCUUAAAAUGUAAGAGUCUGAUCUGAUUAAUUUAUAUCAGGGCAAGCCGUAGAUAUACAUAACAGAGUUCUGCAAACUAUCCUCCAUUUUAGCUCCAAAUUUCCAUUCCCAAUCUCCAUGGAUAACUCUAUUUAUGGGUAAAACUUUGACUCUUUUGGUUUUGCCCUCUCCCACGCUCUGAGUUUAUUUUCACAUUGACAGUGGACCAGGCCAGUCCCGUCUUAGAGAUGAAGUGCAGUGAUGAAAAAAUAAUGUCGAAAAAUUGUCCAAGUCAACGUGGAUUUCCUUGUUGUUAUUGCUGUCAUUGUCCAAUUUGUGCUUCACUACAGAGUCUGAUGUUUGGAUUGAAUCCAAAAGGGUGUGCUGUAUGUUGCUCCUAGCCUGUGUGGUUGCCAGAUGUGUUUCUGCUUUAGCCCACUUUAGUAAACUGUUUUGUUGACUCAAACACUGGUUGGUUGUAGUGACCAUGACAUUGUGGCAAUAACGAGGAAAGCCAAAUUGCCAAAGGUUGGGCCUAAACUAAUUUAUAAAAGAUCAUAAAAAAUGUUUUCUAGGACUCUUCUGUUGAAGAUGUAUAACAUGUAUGUUGGUCUGAUGUGUAUGAGGAAGGGAAUCCAGAUGCAGCACUGGAAGUAUUUGUAGAAAUAUUCCUGCCAGUUGUUGACCAGCACCUGUUAAGAAUAUAACUGUAAGAACUGUUAGGGCCCCUGGAUUGAUGAUGAAUUUAAGAAUUAUUUGGUUCAUAGACACAAUGCAAAAGAGAUGGCAUACAAGUCAGGCUGCUCAGCUGAUUGGUUGACAUUCUGUAACUUGAGACAUUUUGUGACUAAACUUAACAAAAAUAAGAUUUUUUUUUCUAUUAGCAAACAAACCAAGAUAAAUGACAUAAAACACAAUGGAAAAGGCUUUGGAGCACCUUAAAUGAUAUCAUGGGCAGAAAACCCAAUUCAUCUCCAUCGUUCAUUGAAGUUGAUGGAUAAUUUAUAACAAAACCUUUCGAUGUUAGCCAUUCAUUUCAAUUACUAUCUCACUAGUAGUGGAAAAAAUCACAAGUGAAAUUACAACAUUGAACAAGUGAACCAUCAUAUUGUUAUAUAAAAUAUCUAAUAAUGAAAAAGAAGGAUUGCUGUUUUGAAUUUGGUCAAGUUAGUGCUGGAGAGGUGGAAAAACUAUUGUUAUCCAUCAGUAAUGAUAAGCCACCAGGUAUAGACAACCUUAAUUAACCUAUUGAGGACGGUAGCAGACUGUAUUGCCACCCCUAUUUGAUAUAUCUUUAACCAAAGCCUAAAGGAAUGGGUGUGUCCACAGGCGUGGAAGGAAGCUAAACAAAUUCCACUGCCUAAAAAUAGUAAAGCACCCUUUGCUGGCUCUAACAGCCGCCCAAUCAGUUUGCUGCCUGUUCUUAGUAAACUGAUGGAGAAAAUUGUGUUUGACCAAAUACAAUGCAAUUUUUCAGAGAACAAGUUAACGACUGACUUUCAGCAUGCAUAUAGGGAAGGGCACUCAACUUGUACUGCACUGACUCAGAUGACUGAUGAUUGGUUAAAAGAAAUGGAUAGUAAGAUAGUAGUUGGAGCUGAAUUGUUAGAUUUUUAUUGAAGAAACUCACUUGCUAUGGCUUUACAUCACCUGCUAUUUGGUUGGAAUGUUGGAUAAGUAACAUUCCAUUGGGUUGGAAUGUUGGAUAAGUAACAUUCCAUUGGGUUGGAAUGUUGGAUAAGUAACAUUCCAUUGGGUUGGAAUGUUGGAUAAGUAACAUUCCAUUGGGUUGGAAUGUUGGAUAAGUAACAUUCCAUUGGGUUGGAAUGUUGGAUAAGUAACAUUCCAUUGGGUUGGAAUGUUGGAUAAAUAACAUUCCAUUCGGUUGGAAUGUCGAAUAAAUAACAUUCCAUUCGGUUGGAAUGUUAUUUAUCCAAUAGAACCCAGAGAGUGUUUGUCAAUGGAAGCUUCUCUAACAUCAGAUAUGUACAGUGCGGUGUCCCUCAGGGCAGUUGACUUGGGCCGUUACUCUUCUCUAUUAUUACAAAUGAUUUGCCACUGGUCUUACACAAAGCUAGAACGACUAAUGCGGAUGAUUCCACACUCUACAUGUCAGCACCAAAAGCCAGUGAGCUCACUGAAAUUCUAGUUAAAGUUAGUAUCAGAAUGGGUGAUUAAUGAUGAACAGGUUUUUAAUAAAUAUAGAACUAAAAGCAUUGUGUUUGGUUCAAAACAUUCUCCAAGACCUAAACCUAAACCGGAGUUGUACAUAAAGGGUGUGGAUGUCGAUUAAGGCAACCCCCCCACGUGCACCUCUCUGAUUCAGAGGGGUUGGGUUAAAUGUGGAUGACACAUUUCAGUUUAAUACAUUCAGUUGGACAACUGACUAGGUGUCCCCCCUUUCCCCAUUGAGCAAGUUGAGGAAGCUAAACUCCUAGGUAUAACAUCGGAUGGUCAAUUAUCAUGGUCAAGUCAUAUUGACAGUGUUGUUGUGAAGUCGGGGAGGGGUAUGUCUGUUAUAAAAACAUGUUCUGCGUUUUUGACACAAAGAUCAACUGUACUAGUUGUUCAGGCUCUGAUCUUGUCCCAUCUUAAUAACCGUCCGCUAAUAUGGUCAAGUGUAUCAAAGAAAGACAUAGCAAAGCUGCAGCUCAAAACAGAGCAGCACCUUUAAAGGCCCAUAUACAACUAACAUCGUCAACAACAACAACUAACAACAACAUCAACUAACAUCAACUUUCCUGGUUGAGGAUUGACGAGAGAUUAGCUAUUUUUCUUCUAGUUUUUACGAGAUAAAAUGACUGUAAUGAAAAUGACAGAUUGUCUGCAUAAUCAAAUAACAUUCAGCUCAGACACCCGUACAUACCCCUACAAGACAUGCCACCAGGGGUCUCUUCAGACACCCAGACAUACCCCCACAAGACAUGCCACCAGGGGUCUCUUCAGACACCCAGACAUACCCCUACAAGACAUACCACCAGGGGUCUCUUCAGACACCCAGACAUACCCCCACAAGACAUACCACCAGGGGUCUCUUCAGACACCCAGACAUACCCCCACAAGACAUACCACCAGGGGUCUCUUCAGACACCCAGACAUACCCCCACAAGACAUGCCACCAGGGGUCUCUUCAGACACCCAGACAUAUCCCCACAAGACAUACCACCAGGGGUCUCUUCAGACACCCAGACUUACCCCACAAGACAUGCCACCAGGGGUCUCUUCAGACACCCAGACUUACCCCACAAGACAUGCCACCAGGGGUCUCUUCAGUCCCAAAGUCCAAAAGGAAUUCACGGCAACUCACAGUAUUAUUAUACAGAGCCAUGAUCACAUAGAACUCUUCCAUCUCCUGUUAGUCAGCAAACAGCAGAAUGACCUUUAAACACUGAUUAAACAACAACUCAUAAAACAGACUGUGAGGACACAGACACACACACACACACACACUCUAACACACACACAGAUAUACUACAUGUAUUUACAUGUGUCUCGAUGCACUGAAUUGCACAAGCUUGUGAGAGGUAGCUUUUUGAGAACCAGACUUUUUUUUAAGGAAAGGUUAUUUUGCUUCUUCUGGUCCACAAAAAAGCUACAUCUCCACAUAACAUUGCUGUAAUGUAAAGGUUGGCAUAACAUUGCUGUAAUGUAAAGGUUGGCGUAACAUUGCUGUAAAGUAAAGGUUGGCGUAACAUUGCAGCACUGUAACAUUUCUGCAACGUUUAGGCAACACUUGCUUACAGGAAGUUGACCUUCAAAGCCCUACACAGCUCUUUGUAGGUAUCUGCCAGACUUGAAAGAAUGAUGCAUUAUUACAAACGUUGAGGAAAUAAUCUUUCCAUAACUUAAAUGUAACAUUUCAAUAGUUUGCUGCACUGUGAAUGGAAACGCUGACACAACGUUAGGCUCUUUAUCCUGUCUGUGUAGGCAGGAGAUGCCAGACUUAAAGUUAUCAGAUGUAAUGCAAAGCCCCUGUGGAUGGAAGACUGUACAAACAAGGCUAAUUUACCUAUAUCAGGAGUCGGCAACAGACGGGCCCAAACCGGUCGAAAAAAAACAGUCAAAUCACCAGAAAUUCAGCCCAAAAAUAUUGCAUAAUUUAGGAAAUCUGAUCCCAAGUAUUCCCAGGAAUCAAUAAAGAGACAUAUGUAAUGGUACCUCGGUAUAAUCAAGGUAUUUGAAAAUACAAUCUCUUUUUGAUCUUAGUUGUGGUCAAUUUGCAGUGUACAAAUGUAUGGAAUUAUGUUCUGGCCCCCCGGACCAGAAAAAUCAUCUUGUGGCUGAAUCUAGUUGCCAAGCCCUGAUGUACAGUAUGUCUUUCAGGGGUAAAGGCUGAUUCUGAUAUAUGCAUUUAAAUAGUGUAUAUAUAUAUAUGUAUAUAUAUAUACUAUAGACACUGUAGACAUGUUAUAUAUAUUAAUGACAAUUAGCAGAUCACAUUGAUUUCAUCCUAAUUAUAAUCAUUUUUAAUUUGAAAAGUACAUUUUUCUGUCUUUUGUCUUUUGUGCAAUAAUAUUAUUGUGUGUAGAGAGAUAGCCCUAAUAUUGAGAUGUACAGUUGAAUGAAUUGAAUGAACUGAAUCUAAAAUAAUAAAAUGUAGACAUGUUAUCUAUGAGUACUCAGUGUUGUUCAGUACAUCUAUUUCCUGUCUUGUAAUUACACCACAGGUGUGUUGAGGUAGCAUAGUUCUUCUUUGAAUAAAUUUGAAUAAUCCAAGAUUCAAAUGUUUGCAAAUGGGUUUGGAGAACACAUACAGUGCAUACAGCCUUAUUCUAAAAUGGAUUAAAUCGUUUUUUUUUCCCCCUCAUCUAUCUACACACAAUACCCGAUAAUGACAAAUCAAAAAUAUAUUUUUAGAAAUUUUUGCAAAUGUAUUCAAAAUAAAAAACAGAAAUAUAGCUUAUUUACAUAAGUAUUCAGACCCUUUUCU
This 5569-nucleotide long non-coding RNA is filed under the name Salmo salar (Atlantic salmon). RNAcentral describes it as "lncRNA (ENSSSAG00000094137.1)". The record is from RNAcentral. Lineage: Eukaryota; Metazoa; Chordata; Actinopteri; Salmoniformes; Salmonidae.